This 490-nucleotide ribosomal RNA is filed under the name uncultured bacterium. RNAcentral's name for it is "partial 16S ribosomal RNA". It matches the Rfam family "Bacterial small subunit ribosomal RNA", at positions 30 to 507 of the family's 1533-position model. The record is from RNAcentral.
AUUGAACGCUGGCGGCAGGCCUAACACAUGCAAGUCGAACGGUAACAGGAAACAGCUUGCUGUUUCGCUGACGAGUGGCGGACGGGUGAGUAAUGUCUGGGAAACUGCCUGAUGGAGGGGGAUAACUACUGGAAACGGUAGCUAAUACCGCAUAACGUCGCAAGACCAAAGAGGGGGACCUUCGGGCCUCUUGCCAUCGGAUGUGCCCAGAUGGGAUUAGCUAGUAGGUGGGGUAACGGCUCACCUAGGCGACGAUCCCUAGCUGGUCUGAGAGGAUGACCAGCCACACUGGAACUGAGACACGGUCCAGACUCCUACGGGAGGCAGCAGUGGGGAAUAUUACACAAUGGGCGCAAGCCUGAUGCAGCCAUGCCGCGUGUAUGAAGAAGGCCUUCGGGUUGUAAAGUACUUUCAGCGGGGAGGAAGGGAGCAAAGUUAAUACCUUUACUCAUUGACGUUACCCGCAGAAGAAGCACCGGCUAACUCCGUG